RNAcentral lists this long non-coding RNA (439 nucleotides) under Theobroma cacao (cacao). RNAcentral's name for it is "long non-coding RNA (TCAC_LNC003670)". Lineage: Eukaryota; Viridiplantae; Streptophyta; Magnoliopsida; Malvales; Malvaceae. The record is from RNAcentral.
UUGCCUUUACUCCUAUAUAUAUAGAGUUAGGUUAGUACAUAUGUUUAUAUCACCUAUGGAAUGUGUACAUUUGUAUAUACACAUGUGAAGUACAUUUGUCACGAUUCGGAACUCCCAUCGAGCCCGUGACAACCGCAGCGACGCCCCGAUAGGCACUCAUUACCCCGAAUGUCGAUCGAAACCCCGCAAGGCUUAGCAUCAGCUUCUGCAUCUCCCCAGUGAGCGACAGUUAUUAAAUUUCACAUUUCAAAAAAAAUCAUAAGUCAUUUUCAAAUCAAAAAAAUAAAAUAUUACUUUCUUGCUCACAUGGGGCAUUUUCAUCAUUCUUGUCGAAAAUACGGAAACCCGCAAAAAAUAUGGUGUAAAAGAUAAAUAUGUACAUACAUACUUUAAAUCAAAUAACUGAAGAAUAAAAAUUACUUUUACAGUGACACGUGGG